GGUUAAGCGACUAAGCGUACACGGUGGAUGCCCUGGCAGUCAGAGGCGAUGAAGGACGUGCUAAUCUGCGAUAAGCGUCGGUGAGGUGAUAUGAACCGUUAUAACCGGCGAUUUCCGAAUGGGGAAACCCAGUGUGUUUCGACACACUAUCAUUAACUGAAUCCAUAGGUUAAUGAGGCGAACCGGGGGAACUGAAACAUCUAAGUACCCCGAGGAAAAGAAAUCAACCGAGAUUCCCCCAGUAGCGGCGAGCGAACGGGGAGGAGCCCAGAGCCUGAAUCAGUGUGUGUGUUAGUGGAAGCGUCUGGAAAGGCGUGCGAUACAGGGUGACAGCCCCGUACACAAAAAUGCACAUAUUGUGAGCUCGAUGAGUAGGGCGGGACACGUGGUAUCCUGUCUGAAUAUGGGGGGACCAUCCUCCAAGGCUAAAUACUCCUGACUGACCGAUAGUGAACCAGUACCGUGAGGGAAAGGCGAAAAGAACCCCGGCGAGGGGAGUGAAAAAGAACCUGAAACCGUGUACGUACAAGCAGUGGGAGCCUCUUAAUGGGGUGACUGCGUACCUUUUGUAUAAUGGGUCAGCGACUUAUAUUCUGUAGCAAGGUUAACCGAAUAGGGGAGCCGAAGGGAAACCGAGUCUUAACUGGGCGUUAAGUUGCAGGGUAUAGACCCGAAACCCGGUGAUCUAGCCAUGGGCAGGUUGAAGGUUGGGUAACACUAACUGGAGGACCGAACCGACUAAUGUUGAAAAAUUAGCGGAUGACUUGUGGCUGG
This 774-nucleotide ribosomal RNA is filed under the name Escherichia coli. RNAcentral describes it as "partial 23S ribosomal RNA". It matches the Rfam family "Bacterial large subunit ribosomal RNA", at positions 1 to 818 of the family's 2925-position model. The record is from RNAcentral. Lineage: Bacteria; Pseudomonadati; Pseudomonadota; Gammaproteobacteria; Enterobacterales; Enterobacteriaceae.